GUCAGGAUGGCCGAGCGGUCUAAGGCGCCAGACUCAAGGUUACCUUGCCUGUUGUGAACAGGUUGAUGUGCGUUCUGGUCCUCUCUGAGGGCGUGGGUUCGAAUCCCACUUCUGACA
Molecule: non-coding RNA, 117 nt
Organism: Papilio xuthus (Asian swallowtail)
Lineage: Eukaryota; Metazoa; Arthropoda; Insecta; Lepidoptera; Papilionidae
Source: Rfam